AUUGAACGCUGGCGGCAGGCCUAACACAUGCAAGUCGAACGGUAACAGGAAGCAGCUUGCUGCUUUGCUGACGAGUGGCGGACGGGUGAGUAAUGUCUGGGAAACUGCCCGAUGGAGGGGGAUAACUACUGGAAACGGUAGCUAAUACCGCAUAACGUCGCAAGACCAAAGAGGGGGACCUUAGGGCCUCUUGCCAUCGGAUGUGCCCAGAUGGGAUUAGCUAGUAGGUGGGGUAACGGCUCACCUAGGCGACGAUCCCUAGCUGGUCUGAGAGGAUGACCGGCCACACUGGAACUGAGACACGGUCCAGACUCCUACGGGAGGCAGCAGUGGGGAAUAUUGCACAGCGGGCGCAAGCCUGAUGCAGCCAUGCCGCGUGUAUGAAGAAGGCCUUCGGGUUGUAAAGUACUUUCAGCGGGGAGGAAGGGAGUAAAGUUAAUACCUUUGCUCAUUGACGUUACCCGCAGAAGAAGCACCGGCUAACUCCGUG
RNAcentral lists this ribosomal RNA (490 nucleotides) under uncultured bacterium. RNAcentral describes it as "partial 16S ribosomal RNA". It matches the Rfam family "Bacterial small subunit ribosomal RNA", at positions 30 to 507 of the family's 1533-position model. The record is from RNAcentral.